RNAcentral lists this ribosomal RNA (494 nucleotides) under uncultured bacterium. Its description in RNAcentral is "partial 16S ribosomal RNA". It matches the Rfam family "Bacterial small subunit ribosomal RNA", at positions 28 to 507 of the family's 1533-position model. The record is from RNAcentral.
GACGAACGCUGGCGGCGUGCUUAACACAUGCAAGUCGAACGGAAAGGCCUGCUUUCCCUUGUGGAUUGCGGGUACUCGAGUGGCGAACGGGUGAGUAACACGUGAGUGAUCUGCCCCCAACUUGGGUAUAAGCCUGGGCAACUGGGUCUAAUUCCCGAUAGGACUGCAGGGUGGUGCCUGUGGUGGAAAACGGUUUUCUAGUGGUUGGGGAUGAGCUCGCGGCCUAUCAGCUUGUUGGUGGGGUAAUGGCCUACCAAGGCGGCGACGGGUAGCCGGCCUGGGAGGGUGCACCGCCUCAUUGGGCCUGCGACCCCGCCCAGACUCCUGCGGCAGGACGCAGUGGUGAGUAUUGCGCCAUGGGGGCAAGACGGAUGCAGCGACGCCGCGUGGGGGAUGUCGGCCUUGGGGUUGUGAACUGCUUUCGGACGGGAGGAAGCCGCCUGGUUGGAAGGGUGGUGACGGUAGUGGUAGAAGAAGCCCCGUCUAACUACGUG